RNAcentral lists this transfer RNA (63 nucleotides) under Longitarsus candidulus. RNAcentral describes it as "tRNA-Gly". Lineage: Eukaryota; Metazoa; Arthropoda; Insecta; Coleoptera; Chrysomelidae. The record is from RNAcentral.
AUUUACAUAAUAUAAAAAUUAUAUUUAAUUUCCAAUUAAAAAAUCUAGUUUCUAGUGUAAAUA